AAUAUUAAAGUCUACUCCUAUGUCUAGCUAUGCUAAAAUUAAAGCAAUUAAAGUUGCCAAGAUUUGGAAAGAGCACCAAGGACUCUUCCAAAUACUUAGACUUUAUAAAAGGCCAUUUACAAACCAAACCUAAAGCUAAGACUAACAAUGACAGUGGGCUGACACAAGCCCAUCAAAUACAAAGAAAAAGAAAAAAAAAACAAACAAAAUAAACUCUGCAGAAAAAAUCACGACCCAAAUCUUACGGCCCACUAAGCUGCUACGGUCCAAUGCUGCCAACGUCCCGGUCCUGCUUGACUUCUGCUGCAGUAUGCUUCAUGCACCAAUUCUUCACAAUUUGGUUCACGUGCUCAAUGUUUUUGCUUCUUGACAAUUUUCUUGGAUCUGCUUUCAAUUUCCUGAUGCAUCUAAGUGAAUGUCCUUUGCUUUCAAAUUACAAUCUGCAGUCCGGAUAAUUCCAAAAUCAACAAUUCAUUCAGUGCAGCAAUCACAAUUACACAAGAACAGUUCAAUUAAAAC
Molecule: long non-coding RNA, 519 nt
Filed under: Vigna radiata
Lineage: Eukaryota; Viridiplantae; Streptophyta; Magnoliopsida; Fabales; Fabaceae
Description: long non-coding RNA (VRAD_LNC011659)
Source: RNAcentral